RNAcentral lists this ribosomal RNA (733 nucleotides) under Achromobacter sp. 111117_136_C_C10. Its description in RNAcentral is "bacterial SSU rRNA". It matches the Rfam family "Bacterial small subunit ribosomal RNA", at positions 20 to 748 of the family's 1533-position model. Lineage: Bacteria; Pseudomonadati; Pseudomonadota; Betaproteobacteria; Burkholderiales; Alcaligenaceae. The record is from RNAcentral.
UGGCUCAGAUUGAACGCUAGCGGGAUGCCUUACACAUGCAAGUCGAACGGCAGCACGGACUUCGGUCUGGUGGCGAGUGGCGAACGGGUGAGUAAUGUAUCGGAACGUGCCUAGUAGCGGGGGAUAACUACGCGAAAGCGUAGCUAAUACCGCAUACGCCCUACGGGGGAAAGCAGGGGAUCGCAAGACCUUGCACUAUUAGAGCGGCCGAUAUCGGAUUAGCUAGUUGGUGGGGUAACGGCUCACCAAGGCGACGAUCCGUAGCUGGUUUGAGAGGACGACCAGCCACACUGGGACUGAGACACGGCCCAGACUCCUACGGGAGGCAGCAGUGGGGAAUUUUGGACAAUGGGGGAAACCCUGAUCCAGCCAUCCCGCGUGUGCGAUGAAGGCCUUCGGGUUGUAAAGCACUUUUGGCAGGAAAGAAACGUCGUGGGUUAAUACCCCGCGAAACUGACGGUACCUGCAGAAUAAGCACCGGCUAACUACGUGCCAGCAGCCGCGGUAAUACGUAGGGUGCAAGCGUUAAUCGGAAUUACUGGGCGUAAAGCGUGCGCAGGCGGUUCGGAAAGAAAGAUGUGAAAUCCCAGAGCUUAACUUUGGAACUGCAUUUUUAACUACCGAGCUAGAGUGUGUCAGAGGGAGGUGGAAUUCCGCGUGUAGCAGUGAAAUGCGUAGAUAUGCGGAGGAACACCGAUGGCGAAGGCAGCCUCCUGGGAUAACACUGACGCUC